This is a long non-coding RNA of Chrysemys picta bellii (western painted turtle), 1630 nucleotides long. The record is from Ensembl. Lineage: Eukaryota; Metazoa; Chordata; Testudines; Emydidae.
NNNNNNNNNNNNNCGUGGUUGGCCAUGUACAGACUGAAUGUGCACCCUCUAAACAAGACUCUCUCCAUACCUGCCUGAGUCAAAGAUUCUCUACAGUGGUGGACAAUUCACUCCAACCUCUGCUCUGGAGUCCCCUUUCUUCAGCAGGCUCCAUCCCUCAUACUGACGACCGAUGCAUCUCUGACAGGAUGGGGUGCACACAUGUCUCACCACACAGCCCAGGGGCUUUGGUCUUCAACCGAGACCUCUCUCCAUAUAAAUGUCCUAGAAACUUCGAGCCACUCGCAAUGUGUGCCGUCAAUUCCUACCACUGAUCAAGAACCAACACGUACGCAUAAGGACAGACAAUAUUGCAUGCAUGUUCUACGUGAACAGGCAGGGGGGAGCUCGAUCCCAGUCUCUGUGCACAGAGGCUAUGAAACUCUGGAACUGGUGCAUUGCAAACAACAUCCGGGUAUCAGCAGCCUAACUUCCCGGAGUGAUGAAUACCACAGCGGACGAACUAAGCAGACGUUUCCCAUGGGAUCACGAAUGGGAAUUAAACGAGCACACCAUUCACAACAUAUUCCGCAUUUGGGGCUACCCAGCAAUAGACCUCUUUGCAACUGCAAAAAACAAGAAAUGUCCCAAUUUUUGCUCCAGAGCAGGGCUAGGCAAACAUUCCCUGGGAGACGCAUUCAUGAUCCCAUGGCACCAAAACUUACUGUAUAUGUUUCCCCCGAUACCGGUUCUGAACAGGGUCCUGAUAAAAAUACGAACAGAUGGAGACAAGGUGAUCCUAAUUGCCCCAUCAUGGCCCAGACAGCCCUGGUUUCCGUUUCUCACCAAAAUGUCGAUUCGACCACCAAUCCCCUUGCCUCUCAUUCCGAACCUCCUAUCACAACAACACGGCCGUUUUCUACACCCCAACUUAUCCAUGCUCCACCUCAAAGCAUGGUUCCUACAUGGUUCUCCCAAAAUGAACUAGAUUGUUCUGAACAAGUUCAAAGAGUGCUCCUACACAGCAGAACACAGUCUACUCGCACUACCUACCUAUGUAAGUGGAAACGAUUCACACACUGGUGUUCAACUAAACAACUUAGUCCCACAUCAGCAUCUCUUGCGCUCAUACUUGACUACCUAUUGGACCUUAAGCAAUCCGGCCUUUCUUCCAGUUCCAUCAGGGUCCAUUUAGCUGCUAUUACAACUUUUCAUGACAAAAUUGAUGAUACUUCUGUAUUUGCUCAUCCUAUCACCAAGCGCUUCCUCAAGGGACUCCAAACCCUUUACCCAGACAUAAAACCACCCACCACCCCGUGGGACCUUCAUCUAGUUCUCUCUUGCCUAACCCAACAACCAUUUGAACCCCUAGCCACGUGUUCCCUUUUACACCUUUCAAUGAAAACAGCAUUUUUAGUGGCAAUUACCUCCGCCAGGCGGGCAGGAGAAAUAGCAGCUCUUAUGGCAGACCCACCAUAUACGAUAUUUUUCAAAGACAAGGUUACCCUCAGGUUACACCCCAAUUUUCUUCCUAAGAUACACUCCUCAUUCCACAUUAAUAAACCGAUUCACUUACCAACCUUUUUCCCGAAGCCACAUGCGAACUCGUUCGAAGCCUCAGUGCAUACACUAGACGUACGCAGGGCCUUGU